AGCGGGGUGGGGAAGUCAGGUUAUCCCGCGGGGCUCAUAACCCCGAGAUCGGUGGUUCAAAUCCACCCCCCGCUACCA
This 78-nucleotide transfer RNA is filed under the name Candidatus Bathyarchaeota archaeon. Its description in RNAcentral is "tRNA-Met". It matches the Rfam family "tRNA". From Rfam's summary of the family: Transfer RNA (tRNA) molecules are approximately 80 nucleotides in length. RNAcentral also lists the same sequence under 4 other names. The record is from RNAcentral. Lineage: Archaea; Thermoproteati; Candidatus Bathyarchaeota.